Molecule: ribosomal RNA, 472 nt
Filed under: uncultured bacterium
Lineage: Bacteria
Description: bacterial SSU rRNA
Rfam family: Bacterial small subunit ribosomal RNA
Source: RNAcentral
UGGGGAAUAUUGGACAAUGGGGGCAACCCUGAUCCAGCGAUGCCGCGUGUGCGAAGAAGGCCUGCGGGUUGUAAAGCACUUUGGUUGGGGAAGAAGGUUGGGCGUUGAAUAGAUGCCUGAAUUGACGUUACCCAAAGAACAAGCACCGGCUAACUACGUGCCAGCAGCCGCGGUAAUACGUAGGGACCAAGCGUUGUUCGGAUUUACUGGGCGUAAAGGGCGCGUAGGCGGCAAUUCAAGUCAUCUGUGAAAUCUCCGGGCUUAACUCGGAACGGUCAGAUGAUACUGCUUUGCUAGAGUGCAGAAGGGGCAAUCGGAAUUCUUGGUGUAGCGGUGAAAUGCGUAGAUAUCAAGAGGAACACCUGAGGUGAAGACGGGUUGCUGGGCUGACACUGACGCUGAGGCGCGAAAGCCAGGGGAGCAAACGGGAUUAGAUACCCACGUAGUCCCUGAGCGGGCUGGCAAGGCGCAU